GAUGAACGCUGGCGGCGUGCCUAACACAUGCAAGUCGAGCGAUUCUCUUCGGAGAAGAGCGGCGGACGGGUGAGUAACGCGUGGGUAACCUGCCCUGUACACACGGAUAACAUACCGAAAGGUAUGCUAAUACGAGAUAAUAUACUUUUAUCGCAUGGUAGAAGUAUCAAAGCUUUUGCGGUACAGGAUGGAUCCGCGUCUGAUUAGCUAGUUGGUAAGGUAACGGCUUACCAAGGCGACGAUCAGUAGCCGACCUGAGAGGGUGAUCGGCCACAUUGGAACUGAGACACGGUCCAAACUCCUACGGGAGGCAGCAGUGGGGAAUAUUGCACAAUGGGCGAAAGCCUGAUGCAGCAACGCCGCGUGAGCGAUGAAGGCCUUCGGUCGUAAAGCUCUGUCCUCAAGGAAGAUAAUAGACGGUACUUGAGGAGGAAGACCCGGCUAACUACGUAGCCAGCAGCCGCGGUAACAACGAGAGUA
RNAcentral lists this ribosomal RNA (480 nucleotides) under uncultured bacterium. RNAcentral describes it as "bacterial SSU rRNA". It matches the Rfam family "Bacterial small subunit ribosomal RNA", at positions 28 to 534 of the family's 1533-position model. The record is from RNAcentral.